Molecule: long non-coding RNA, 2724 nt
Organism: Xiphophorus hellerii (green swordtail)
Lineage: Eukaryota; Metazoa; Chordata; Actinopteri; Cyprinodontiformes; Poeciliidae
Exons: 2
Source: RefSeq, a predicted model, not a curated record
AAGGAAACGCUUAAGAAGAUAUUGCGUAAAACGAGUUAGCCUUUUUGGUCUGCUUUACAGUUCGAUUACGCAUUCACACCUCCCCAAACCUUCUAGGCAAAUGAACAGGAAUUGGAGGCUGGUGUGAAUGCAACCUAACAUACAGGGAGGGAAUAACAUGGAAAAGAGACCAGAGUCUAAAGACAGGGGAGGGUUUGUAGUGUUCCAUAAUGUGUCAAGCUUUGUAUGGAUAUGGACUUCCUAUUUGCUCUCAUUUUUGAAUACAGGUUGCUGGAUCAUUAUCCAAACAUGGAUCCAUGUUGGGGAACUGAUCCAAAGUUCCCCAACAUGGAUUGUCCAAAUCUCACCAUCUUUUACCUCGGAAGUUGCUUAGGCAAAUUGUGCCGUCUCUUGCAUUGUUGUAGACUAAAAGAGAGGAAGACUUUCUUUGCUAACUGCCACUCAUUUGCAUUCUACAGAUAAACUGCUGGACUUUGGAUAAGAAUUACAAACGGGCACAUAUUUAACUUCCAUGUGUGAUAAAUUAGACAUGAGAGGUGGCAAAGGCAGAAUCAGCAAAUUAAACUUAGCUUUUCCUUAAAGAAAAUGAUCCAAAAAUAGAAAACAAAAUAUGUAAACACUCACAAUGAAGUUGUAUGCCUUAUUUUAAUUCUUAAGUUAGAAUAAAUAUUCUUCAGUUUUUGGGUUGUGGUUUGUAGCAAAAUCCAUUGAUAAAAACAAUUAGCAAACUGCUAAAAAAAAACUGCUAGUCACUGUACUUAUACUUCUUAAAAUUAAUUAAUGUUGAACAUAUGUUAGCAUUUAUCAAAUCCUCCAGAAUUUUGCAAUUUUUUUGUGAUUUUUUUCCAAUAAAAACGCCAGAUUUUGUUGUGCUAAUUUAGAAAUAUUUGCAAGAAAUUUUGCAAUAUUUGCGCCUAUGUAUGACAUUAAAUUUGACUUUUCUUCCCUUGCUAACUUCACAUUACGUAUGGCUGAUUCAGCAGUGGAGAAAAAGUACAAAACACUGCCACCUAUAGGUGGGUUUUAACAUUACAUAAACUCAAUAUUUUUGACAAUUUAUGCAGUAAAUUUGUAAUCAAUUCAAAUUAUUCACAAUUAUAAUUUAUGAAUUUCUGCCAAAAAACUGAUCGAUGUAAUUUGACGCCUAGUGGGCCACACAAAAAGCUACGGUGGUCAAGAUUUGGAGUUUGAAACAUGUGCACUAGGCAUUGUUAAAAAAAAAAUGAAUACGCCAAUUAGACAAGCAAUUAGACAUGAAAAGAAGCGUAGUUUGUGUGUGAAAGACACAUCAAAUGUUGCACGUUUUUUGGCCCUCCUGGAUUUCCAUACAAGAGGAGCAGGAGACCAAGCAGAACACGAGUUUAUCAAAGCUGAGUGUGAAUUUUUGUGAGAUUUAAAUGUACACACCACAAAUUAUUCUUUGCUUAAAUAGAUACAUGCUCCCACAUCAGUCUCAGUGCAGCUCAAAUUUAGUUUUUGAGCAAAACUGGAGGAAAAGCAAGGCUGUUAAAACACACAGACAUCCCACAAGUGCUACGCCCAUCCCACUGUAGCCUCUCUUCAGCUAACUACAGCGAGUUGAAUUACCAUUCCUCAGAAAAGCGCCCAACCUUUGCUUCAUCGGGAUCUUCUGCCAAAUGUCUCUAGCUGGCAGCAUCGCAGGAUCCCUCUGCCACAGCGGGCCGACAGAACCUCAUUCAUCCUUUCAUUAAUCUCCCAUCCCGUUCAGGAUCGCACAGGACGGAUGGGGAGUCUCUAAUUGGGCCAUUCAUGAUAUUUGUUCUGUUUUCUGCUAAUGAGGGAGAGGAAGAAAGAAGCCUGAAGUAGAAAAGCUGCUUUAAAGAAUGAGAAGAAAAAGAAAAAAAUAUGUUUAUGUCUCUUUAAGGAUUGUAAUGGAAUUACACACAACAAACUACCACAAUAUGGGUGAUGUAGUUCUGAUCAACACCUUUCAUUUAUAACUAUAUUUCCCGUGCAGUGUCUUCCAAAAGCAUACACCCCCCCCCCCACUAAAGUACUUCUUUUUUGUUAAAUUCAAAUUUCAAAGCAUUUUGUUGGGCAUUUUGAUUGACAAAAAGUAACUUAUUUGUAGAGUUUUCUGUGGAAGGUCACUCCAAAAAUGUGUGGACUUUUCAUAGAUCAUGUCUAAAAUAUUCUAAGAAAUAACAACAUCCUGGGAAGCACAGAUGUUGACAGUACCUUGGGCUGUCUCUUGCAAAAGCUAAGUUGGUUUCCAUUGUGCUUGAAAUGCAUAUUAAGGUAUAUUUGGUGUUUGAACUAUUAAAAUAAGCUGUUAUAAAUUUGAUGUUGAUAACAUUUAGCACACAGAAUUUUCUGUAUAAACUGUAAAGCAACAAUUUGCUUAGCUAUUUGUAAUAUUUUCUGUUGACAGAAGGUUGACAUCUGUGUUCAGGUUUUGGUUACCGAUUCUUCAUGCUCUUAUUUUGAAGUGCGUCAAGACAGCUCAUGCAGUAGUUCUGUUUCCUCUUUCUCUCUCUCUUUGUACCUUUUUUAUUGAGGAAAAGGAGAAUAUACAGCAAAUGAAAGAAUGGGGUAUACAGGAUACAAACACCUAAAUGAACAAAUGGUGGUAUCAGCUUGGUUGAAUUUAGUACUUAGCAGCUAAUGAGGUUUGUGGUUGGAACUUGGCAAAAUGGAAAACGUUCAGUCGGCCAUGAAGACUUUUGCAAGGGAUUGUAUUCCCUCUAAAUAUUUAUACAACAA